AACGAACGCUGGCGGCAUGCCUAACACAUGCAAGUCGAACGAGACCUUCGGGUCUAGUGGCGCACGGGUGCGUAACGCGUGGGAACCUGCCCUUAGGUUCGGAAUAACUCCCCGAAAGGGGUGCUAAUACCGGAUAAUGUCUUCGGACCAAAGAUUUAUCGCCUUUGGAUGGGCCCGCGUUGGAUUAGCUAGUUGGUAGGGUAAAAGCCUACCAAGGCGACGAUCCAUAGCUGGUCUGAGAGGAUGAUCAGCCACACUGGGACUGAGACACGGCCCAGACUCCUACGGGAGGCAGCAGUGGGGAAUAGUGGACAAGGGGCGAAAGCCUGAUCCAGCAAUGCCGCGGGAGUGAUGAAGGCCUUAGGGUUGUAAAGCUCUUUUACCCGGGAUGAUAAUGACAGUACCGGGAGAAUAAGCUCCGGCUAACUACGUG
RNAcentral lists this ribosomal RNA (433 nucleotides) under uncultured bacterium. RNAcentral describes it as "partial 16S ribosomal RNA". It matches the Rfam family "Bacterial small subunit ribosomal RNA", at positions 29 to 507 of the family's 1533-position model. The record is from RNAcentral.